CGCCGGGGGGGCCUUGGCCUUGCUGCGGCCCCGCCUGGCCGGGCCCCGGCGGCGUCUGGGUCUGGCUGGGGAGGGUGAAGUCGGUGAACUCGAACUCGGAGCCCUGAGUGUCGGCGCCGAGCAGCUCGGCCUCCUCGGUGUCCAGGAAGGUGGUUUUGAAAAGAUCUCAAGUGCUGUGACGCCGAGUGGUUGUUUUUACAAAGGCCUCUAAUGCAAAAAAAGCCCUUUUUUCGCCAGCUAAAAACGCCUCAGGAAGGUGUCAUCCUGUAAAUUGAAGAAUUAUUCUGUAAAUUGAAGAAUUAUUCUGUAAAUUGAAGAAUUUCUUGAAGGUGCCAGAAUUGAAGUGCAAUGAGAAAUGCAAGUCCAGCCUUGAUUUCAGGGGUUCAGCUGUGGCUGCAUAAAGUAUUCCCAAAACAAGGCAUGGGAACGUCACUUGGAGCAGUGAAGGAAAAGGAGGAGGAGAUUUUGACAUUUCUCCAGUGAGCUGGAAUGGAAAAGGUCCUUGGAAAUUAAGGUGAUGAGGGGCAUUUAAAGAUAACAUCGAUAUAUGAAAGCCAGGAAAUGGAACUUGCUGUUUCACUAAGCACCAAAAAGCCAAUAAACUUGUUAAAAUGU
This is a long non-coding RNA of Neopelma chrysocephalum (saffron-crested tyrant-manakin), 615 nucleotides long. RefSeq lists it as uncharacterized. The record is from RefSeq and is a predicted model, not a curated record. NCBI's taxonomy places the organism in Eukaryota, Metazoa, Chordata, Aves, Passeriformes, Pipridae. The transcript is spliced from 3 exons.